GCUGCGCCUUGGCUGCGAGGGAGGAGGCCGGCACCAAUCAGAGCUCUGGAGGCCAGCCGCCUCCCGGAGACCUUCGGGAGGAGCCCCCUGCUCUCCCCGCCUCCCUGUCCCGAGCUCGCCCUGGACGUCUCUCGGAAGAGAGCUUAACAACACAAAAUGGGCAAAGGAUCUAACGGAUAUUUCUUCAAGGAAGAUAUACAAAUGACCAAUAAACACAUGUAAAGAUACCCGACAUCAUUAGCUAUCAAGGAAAUGCAAAGCAAAACCACAAUGAUGCCGCUUUAUACCCACAAAGCUGGCUACAGUAAAAAAAGAUAGUAACAAGCCUUAGCGAAGAUGUGAAAAGUUGGAACCCUCAUACACUGCUGGUGAGAAUGUAAAUUUCCUCAUUGGAGAACAGUUCAGCAAUUCCUCGAAAGGUUAAACAUACGGUUACCAUAAGACUUAUAAAUUGUAGGUAUAUACCACAUGAAACUUCUACACAAAUGUUCAUAGCAGCAUUGGUCCAUAAAAGCUCCAAAGUGGAAACCCAAAUGUCCAUCAACUACUGAAUGGAUAAAGAAACUGGGGAAUAACCAUGCCACGGAAUGUUAUUCAGCCAUAAGAAGGAAUGAAGUCCUGAUUCAUCCAUUCAGCAUGGAUUCGCCUGAAAAACAUGCUCAGUGAGAGAAGCCAGUCACAAAAGACUGUAUCUUGUACUUACAUGAGAUGCCCAGAAAAAGGCAGACGUAUAAAGCCAAAAUGUAGAUUAGUGGUUGUCUAGGGCCUGGGGGGUCAUGGGGAGAUGGGGAGUGGCUGCUAAGGGGUGUGGGGUUUCUUUUUAAGGUGAUGAAAUGUUGUAAAAUUACUUCCGACUCUGUGAAUAUACUAAACAGCAUUAACUUGUGCACUUUAAGCAGGUGAAUUACACGGUAUGUGAAUUAUAUGCCAAUAAAACUGUCAUUAAAAGAGG
Molecule: long non-coding RNA, 952 nt
Organism: Felis catus (domestic cat)
Lineage: Eukaryota; Metazoa; Chordata; Mammalia; Carnivora; Felidae
Exons: 2
Source: RefSeq, a predicted model, not a curated record